RNAcentral lists this long non-coding RNA (217 nucleotides) under Capsicum annuum. Its description in RNAcentral is "long non-coding RNA (CANN_LNC008259)". Lineage: Eukaryota; Viridiplantae; Streptophyta; Magnoliopsida; Solanales; Solanaceae. The record is from RNAcentral.
UUCUCUUUUUUGAAAAAAAAUAAAAAAAUCUUUUUUCUCUUUACCAUCCCUAUAUAUGCCCUCUGCUUCUGUAUUGGUUAUCCUUACUUUACCUUUUUAUAAUUAAAAUUUAAUUUUAAAAUUUUUAUUUUAUUCUUAAUAAAAUAUAACUUACCCUCACACAAAUAUCUCAAAAUUAUUUUAAAUUAUAAAUUUUUAAAAGUUUAUUCUCUUAAAA